Long non-coding RNA from Nomascus leucogenys (northern white-cheeked gibbon), 1824 nucleotides. RefSeq lists it as uncharacterized. The transcript is spliced from 6 exons. The record is from RefSeq and is a predicted model, not a curated record. Lineage: Eukaryota; Metazoa; Chordata; Mammalia; Primates; Hylobatidae.
GGACGCCUUGGACGCGCCGGGUAAAGUCCAGCCGUAUCCGCCUCCUUCUUGUCCCACUGUGGGAGGGGCUCUGGAGCGCCCGGACUCUAAGGUGGCCAAUGACGGAGACCCGUUGGGCCGGGCCAGGUCGGGGACAACGUCGACUGUUUAAGAAGCGUGGACUCUUGUCCUGAGUACACCGAGGCUUUCAGCCUGCGGGACGGUGGUGCGAUUUGCGUUAGAGAAAGGGAGAUGCCAUGUGCUGGCCCAGCACUCCAACAGGGGCCUGACCUCUAGGAACGGGAUACUGGAGGAAGCCUAGACAUUUGAACAAAUCAAGUCAUCCAGAUCCACGGUCAGCUCCUGCCCUGACUUGGCCUUCCUCCUGCUGGGCUGGUCCACGGACCUCGGGAACCUGCCCUGGCUGUGGGUGACCUGCAGGUCUCAGAACUGUGGCCCAUUCACCCCUUCCCUCAAGACAAGAGUGUGGCCAAGCAUCAACCUCACCCCCAGAGACCAGACGGUGUCCAGGUCUUGGGCAGAUGAAACCUGCUCCUUGGGGAUGGUCUUCCUGGCUGUGCUUCCAAAGGGCUGGCCUGCAAUCAGCUGGUUUUCACUUGAUCCUUUUGGGGUUUGCAUUACAUCUGACUGAAGGAAUGAACUGGGAGAGAACAGCAGAGCCGCAGAGGAAUGUGGAAAGGCCCACGUCGAGACUGUUCCCAUUCUGUCACCUGCAGAAGAGGCUGGUCAGACUGGAAGAACAUCACCUGGAAUGCAAAUCUAAGGAAGAAAUGAUUUGAUGGGAAAGAAAUGCAAGCCUAAUACAUGGUUGAUGUGGAGUGAACAUGGAAGCUAUGAAUUGAGAUGGCAGAACCACAAGAUGGAAGUACGUUGGAUUUCUGAGUCACCACCUGGAGGAGAGCUUCCCUGCAGCAUCGCUGCAAUCUGAUGUGAACUAGAUAUUAAUCUUGAUCAUGUCGACUUGAACCUAAUUCAGGCCUAAGACAUAAUAUAUACUGCAUAAUAUAUGCUGUAUAAUGAUAAUAUAUUUAUGCAGUCUUUAUUGAUAUGAGUAAUGGUUUAUCUCAGUUUUAUAAUAAAAAUCUCUCAAAGAACAUUGACUCCAAGGAAUAACAAUCACAAAAGGAUUACAGCUUUGUUUAACACUUUUUGCAAAUCCUUGAAGCUGAUCUUUCUCAUUGUUUCUAAUCCCAAUAGCCAGCCUAAACCUUUUGGUGUAAUCUCAUGUAUUCUGACCUCUGUUAUUUCCAGCUGCUUAAUGAUCUUCAUAUAAAUUGUACGGGAAAUGAAGCAAAUGUAAUUACAGUGUCUGACAGCCCUGAUGCAGAUAAAUAGGUGGGAGUCUGGCCAAGUGUCUCCCCAAGCUAGCCUUUGGUGUCUUUCGCUCACAGCAGAAAGAAAUAGGUCAUAAAUUACAGCACUGAUUUGUUCCAAUGAUAUCAUUAGCUCCUGGAAAACAAGGAUCAUGAAAAACCCAUUUCAAAUGAACAUAUGAGUCAAUACCAACCAAGCAUCUUUUGGAACAGAGCCCUUAUAAAUUCACACUAGAAUUCUGACUCCUAAGUGAAUAUCUGUGGAUCUUCAGAACGUAGAAGACUUAGCUCUAGCCCAUGCAUCAGUCCCUUCAGACCAUAGAGUCAUAACCAGGCCUACUGAAAGAGCUGGUUACAUGGGACAGUCAGAGAUUUACCUAGGUGAGAAAAUAAAGAUUAGAUGGUUUGAAGCAGAGUUCUAGCCCUUCCAAAUCAGACCUCCAACCCCUUUCUUAAUUCUAUAGGUUGUAGUUUUCAAAGGAGAAGUUGUAAUAAAGAGUAAGUAAACUAA